AUUGAACGCUUGCGGCAGGCCUAACACAUGCAAGUCGAACGAGUGGCGGACGGGUGAGUAAUGUCUGGGAAACUCCCCGAUGGUGGGGGAUAACUACUGUAAACCGUAGCUAAUACCGCAUUCCAUCGGUUUUUCCCAGAUGGGCUUAGCUUGUGGGUGGGGUUACGGCUCACCUGGGCGACGCUCCCUAGCCGGUCUGUGAGGAUGACCAGCCACACUGGACCUGGGACACGGUCCAGACGACUACGUGAGGCAGCAGGGGGGAAUAUUGCACAAUGGGCGCAAGCCUGAUGAAGCCAUGCCGCGUGUAUGAAGAAGGCCUUCGGGUUGUAAAGUACUUUCAGCGGAGAGGCGUUACCCGCAGAAGAAGCACCGGCUAACUCCGUGCCAGCAGCCGCGGUAAUUC
RNAcentral lists this ribosomal RNA (406 nucleotides) under uncultured bacterium. RNAcentral describes it as "partial 16S ribosomal RNA". It matches the Rfam family "Bacterial small subunit ribosomal RNA", at positions 30 to 526 of the family's 1533-position model. The record is from RNAcentral.